GACGAACGCUGGCGGCGUGCCUAACACAUGCAAGUCGAACGUGAUUUUUGUGGAAAUUCUUUCGGGAAUGGAAAUGAAAUGAAAGUGGCGAACGGGUGAGCAACACGUGAGCAACCUACCUUACACAGGGGGAUAGCCGUUGGAAACGACGAUUAAUACCGCAUGAGACCACAGAAUCGCAUGAUAUAGGGGUCAAAGAUUUAUCGGUGUAAGAAGGGCUCGCGUCUGAUUAGCUAGUUGGAAGGGUAAAGGCCUACCAAGGCGACGAUCAGUAGCCGGUCUGAGAGGAUGAACGGCCACAUUGGAACUGAGACACGGUCCAAACUCCUACGGGAGGCAGCAGUGGGGAAUAUUGCACAAUGGGGGGAACCCUGAUGCAGCGACGCCGCGUGAGCGAAGAAGGUUUUCGAAUCGUAAAGCUCUGUCCUAUGAGAAGAUAAUGACGGUAUCAUAGGAGGAAGCCCCGGCUAAAUACGUG
This 478-nucleotide ribosomal RNA is filed under the name uncultured bacterium. Its description in RNAcentral is "partial 16S ribosomal RNA". It matches the Rfam family "Bacterial small subunit ribosomal RNA", at positions 28 to 507 of the family's 1533-position model. The record is from RNAcentral.